UCCGAGUUGACCCCGGCAGUAUCCCAUGAGUUCCCACCAUAACGUGCUGGCAACAUAGGACGAGGGUUGCGCUCGUUGCGGGACUUAACCCAACAUCUCACGACACGAGCUGACGACAACCAUGCACCACCUGUAUAGGACCCUUGCGGACCCGACAUUUCUGCCGGAUUUCCCUGUAUGUCAAGCCUUGGUAAGGUUCUUCGCGUUGCGUCGAAUUAAGCCACAUGCUCCGCCGCUUGUGCGGGCCCCCGUCAAUUCCUUUGAGUUUUAAUCUUGCGACCGUACUCCCCAGGCGGGAUGCUUAAUGCGUUAGCUGCGCCACUGACGAGUAAACCCGCCAACGGCUAGCAUCCAUCGUUUACGGCGUGGACUAC
This 374-nucleotide unclassified non-coding RNA is filed under the name uncultured bacterium. RNAcentral describes it as "contains 16S-23S intergenic spacer region". The record is from RNAcentral.